AAGAGCCGGAUGUGAAAAGCACAAGUCCGGUUCUGUGAGAGCUGGGGACGGGUAACCGUCCCUGGCUACUCGAC
Deltaproteobacteria bacterium CG2_30_63_29 is the source of this 74-nucleotide non-coding RNA. NCBI's taxonomy places the organism in Bacteria, Deltaproteobacteria. The record is from Rfam.